CCCUGACUUCCUUCCGCCAUGGAAGGCCCAGCCCCAGUCUCAGCCCUACUUCACUCUAGCACUAUAGUUGUGGCAGGAGUUUUCCUACUUAUCCGCUUCCACCCCCAAUAGAAAAUAAUAUUUUAAUCCAAAGCCUUACACUAUGCUUAGUGUAAUAUGACCUCCCUAUUCACAGC
Nomascus leucogenys (northern white-cheeked gibbon) is the source of this 176-nucleotide long non-coding RNA. RefSeq lists it as uncharacterized. The transcript has 3 exons. NCBI's taxonomy places the organism in Eukaryota, Metazoa, Chordata, Mammalia, Primates, Hylobatidae. The record is from RefSeq and is a predicted model, not a curated record.